This 21-nucleotide unclassified non-coding RNA is filed under the name Dictyostelium discoideum. Lineage: Eukaryota; Evosea; Eumycetozoa; Dictyosteliales; Dictyosteliaceae. The record is from RNAcentral.
UUACAAAGAAAAUUGGGUAUG